AUAUCAAUAAGCGGAGGAAAAGAAACUAACAAGGAUUCCCCUGGUAACUGCGAGUGAAGCGGGAAAAGCUCAAAUUUGAAAUCUGGCGGUUCUGAACCGUCCGAGUUGUAAUUUAGAGAAGCGUCUUCCGCGCUGGACCGUGCAUAAGUCUCCUGGAAUGGAGCGUCAUAGAGGGUAAGAAUCCCGUCUUUGACCCAGAGUUUACCGCGUACAACAUGCGUUCAGAGAGUCGAGUUGGUCGGGACUCCAGCUCUAAAUGGGUGGUAAACUUCAUCCAAGGCUAAAUAUUGGCAAGAGACCGAUAGCGCACAAGUA
This 315-nucleotide ribosomal RNA is filed under the name uncultured eukaryote. RNAcentral's name for it is "partial large subunit ribosomal RNA". It matches the Rfam family "Eukaryotic large subunit ribosomal RNA", at positions 40 to 350 of the family's 3401-position model. The record is from RNAcentral.